GGAGAUUUAGCUCAGUGGUAGAGUGCUUGCCUAGCAAGCGCAAGGCCCUGGGUUCGGUCCCCAGCUCCA
RNAcentral lists this transfer RNA (69 nucleotides) under Rattus norvegicus (Norway rat). It matches the Rfam family "tRNA". Rfam says of the family: Transfer RNA (tRNA) molecules are approximately 80 nucleotides in length. Their secondary structure includes four short double-helical elements and three loops (D, anti-codon, and T loops). Lineage: Eukaryota; Metazoa; Chordata; Mammalia; Rodentia; Muridae. The record is from Rfam by way of RNAcentral.